AAACAUUCACAGGAUUCUUCUGCUGUAGC
Molecule: small RNA, 29 nt
Filed under: Bombyx mori (domestic silkworm)
Lineage: Eukaryota; Metazoa; Arthropoda; Insecta; Lepidoptera; Bombycidae
Description: ovarian small RNA-9926
Source: RNAcentral